UCAGGUAGAGUGGGCUUGUCCGGACAUGUUGGGGUGUAGUUGAUCAGAUGCACGUCCUUCUAUCGCAAGUUCCGCCGCCUGAUAUCGCCCGACGGCAAGUUUUAUCGACUGAUGUCCUCCGACCGCAUGUCCUACGGCUGCGUGUCCUCCUCACUUUCUUCCAGCACUAACUAGGAUUUGGAUCCAGUGUAAGGAGUGCAAGUUCUCGCACCCUAAUCAGGAUAUUCUCCUCAAGCAUUACCGACUUUGCCACUACCGGGGACGCUUCUGGCCACUGCCGUGCCUGUACACUGACUGCUGCUGCACUUUCAAAACAAGCGAUAUAUGCUGAGUUUUUUUGAAUCACUCAAGUGGAUCUAAAGAAGACAUUCUUCACAUCUUUGGAUGCACACGCCUCAAACCUGAUAAAGCUUUACAGAACACGUAGCGGGACACUAGGAAAGGACUUAAAGGCCCUCCUUGACAACCUUGAUGAACAGACAACCAAUGUGCUUGCACAAAGGAAGGCCACAGCUCUCCGAGGUCUACCUCUCUAUUUGAGGGAGAAUCCAGGCAACGUCCUGAAGACAUGUCUGGUAAGAAUACUUCGGUUUAUACCAUUGAAGUUUUUUUCUUCCAUUUUUUUAAUAGCUGGGCCAAUAUAAAUAUACAAGGGGCCAGUACAUCUCUGAUUAGGGAGCAAACGCAUUCAUUUGAUAGGAAUAUGCAAUAAAACCACUUAUUUAUAUUCCCUUUAAUGUAAUAUAAGUAGUUAUCCCUAAUUAAGGCUGAAAUCUUUAACAAUAAAAGUAAAAACACAUUAUCAAGAGGUAAUCUAUGAGGGUUGACCUAAAAAAACCCUUAAAUCAGUAAAUUUUGCUGCAAGUUUUAGUGUUUGGAUUGUGGCCGAUUUUAUAUGCACUGUCAGGGUGAGAUAUUGUCCAUCCUUUUUGGAUUGUUAACACUAAUGGAAUCAAAGGAUUAUCCCACACCUUUUAAACUGCACACCAGCUGAAUUUUAAGAGCACCUUUAGAAAAAAAAUGCCAGAUUUCGCACAAAUUAUCCCUUCACAUGGAUUAAUUGAUGACAUCUGGGUGGUCAAAAUUUAUCUGGUGGCCUUACAAAUUGUAUUUUUUAAUGUAUCUUAAAUUUGUCGUUAGGAAAUUUCUUCAUAUUUUGAACAGUGGUAAAUG
Long non-coding RNA from Limanda limanda (common dab), 1173 nucleotides. RefSeq lists it as uncharacterized. The record is from RefSeq and is a predicted model, not a curated record. The transcript is spliced from 4 exons. Lineage: Eukaryota; Metazoa; Chordata; Actinopteri; Pleuronectiformes; Pleuronectidae.